GUCUACAGCCUUACCACCCUGAAGGCGCCUGAUCUCAUCUGAUCUCGGAAGCUAAGCAGGCUGGGGCCUCGUUAGCACUUGGAUGGGAGACGGCCUGGGAAAAUAUGAUUUCAAUGACU
This 119-nucleotide ribosomal RNA is filed under the name Propithecus coquereli (Coquerel's sifaka). Lineage: Eukaryota; Metazoa; Chordata; Mammalia; Primates; Indriidae. The record is from RNAcentral.